CGAUUUCGACACGCCUGAAAAAUUUUUGCGUCAUCUGGUGAACACUGGUAAAAUCACGAUGCUAUAACAUACGUGAACUUCGUUGUAUCUUCUAUCGUCGCAAAUAUUUAUUAUUUUUGUAUUAUUUAUUUAAAUACGAGCAAUAUAAAUACAACAUUUAUCAUUGCUAGUUAUAUUACGUUCUUUACCAAGUUCGAAAAACAGAGUGCGAUCAGAGAAUCUGAAACUCGUUGCAUUGCCGCCAAAAAUCAUAGCAAUUUCUUUCGAUUUCUUAACAGAUAUUAAAGGAAAAACAAACGACAACAGCAUUCGUAUUUUACGUAGUCUCGUUGUUGUGAUUCACUCCGUACGAAUAGAGUGCGUGAUAAACAAGAUAAACUCGGAAAUUUAGAUAUCGUACAAAGUCGUAAGAAAGCAAAACGUGAAUCACUACUUGUAGAUAUUUUUUGUCGCGAUAAAUUAAUAAAUGAAUAAAUUGUGGAACAGGAACGGUUUAGGGAAAAAUUUUCUAACAGUUCACCAUGUACAAUGUGUAAUAUUUUAUCAAGGUAAAAAAUCAAUAAUUUUACAAUAGCAGAAGCACAAUUGUUUUCGUACAAUUGUAUCUUAUUUAACGCGUUGACUUCACCUUGUUAAUGUAGUUUACAAUUAUGAUAAAAUUAACGUACAGGGCGGUCCAAAAAGCACGGUAAAAAUGCUAACUUUCCCAAAACAUUUAGAAUGGGCUCUCAGGAAUCAAAUGCGAAGAAAAGUCUGAUUAAAAUGCUUAAAACUGUUCGUAAUGUUAUUCGUCAAGAAAGUACAAAAUUUUUGUACUUGGAAUUAUGUCUUUAUUAAAAACUGCGCAUAAUACUCAAUAUCCUUGGAACGCCUUGUAUAACAUUCGUUCAAAGAUUACCACCGCACGAUAAAAACAUGUUUUUCGGGAAGUGGUCAAAUCAAAGUAUAAAAAAAAAAAAAA
Long non-coding RNA from Megachile rotundata (alfalfa leafcutting bee), 961 nucleotides. The record is from RefSeq and is a predicted model, not a curated record. NCBI's taxonomy places the organism in Eukaryota, Metazoa, Arthropoda, Insecta, Hymenoptera, Megachilidae.